CGAGUGCUGAGGUGGUAACUUCAAUUCCAGCAAUAAUAAACACAAACAUGUACCUCCCUGUUGCAUCCAAGAGUUUUCCUGAAAAAGACAACAUCCCAGGACUUGGUGGAGGUGAAGGAACAGGAGGGAGGAUGUGAAGGAAGUGCCUCUCCAAACCUGAAGAUCAGAGGAAGUAGUGCAUAGUACUGUUUUUUUUCCAUGCAGAGUUCUGUCACAAUAAAGAUACUUGAUGCUU
This is a long non-coding RNA of Aquila chrysaetos chrysaetos, 235 nucleotides long. RefSeq lists it as uncharacterized. The transcript is spliced from 2 exons. Lineage: Eukaryota; Metazoa; Chordata; Aves; Accipitriformes; Accipitridae. The record is from RefSeq and is a predicted model, not a curated record.